Molecule: unclassified non-coding RNA, 8232 nt
Filed under: Mizuhopecten yessoensis (Yesso scallop)
Lineage: Eukaryota; Metazoa; Mollusca; Bivalvia; Pectinida; Pectinidae
Description: uncharacterized LOC110456477, transcript variant X3
Source: RNAcentral
UUUUCAUUUUCUCCCUAUAGGUACGUCUGUUUAUCCAUUGUUUACGUAGGAAUGUAACACAAUAGUUCUACACACUUACAGAUUUAUAAGAAUUCUAUAUUUUUCUAGAAGUACGUAAACAAGCCAGCGGUAUAGGAGACCUGUUGUUUACCGACGUUUCAGGACGUCUGCAGUAUACUACAGGCCACAGGCACAUAUCGUCGGAGGAUUGUAGUCAUCGCUCUCACUCUGAGCGUGAACACGGAGAGAAGUGAAUGUGUUGCUCUGGUUCCUAUGGUGGAUUAUGACUGUGUUGAUUCCUACGUGUGUACAGUACAGGGAUAUAGACUGCACAAGGAUUUAUCUUCAUAAACCAAGAUCGUUAACAUCACCAGCCACGAUCAACAAGUGCCAGAUUGGUUUUCACGUUUUGUUCUCAUCUUAACCACGUGACCUGGAAUCAUACCAAGAUGUGGCGUAAUAAGCGGGAAAACAUUCCUGUGACCGCGAUAGUCAGCUCCUCGCGCCAUACUCGUUUGUAAAGGGAGUAUAUUUUCGUAUUUUGUGGAACCCUGUUUGAGUAACACAUGUGUGUGUAUUGUGUCAAAGCUCAGAAUCUAAAGUGCAGGAGCAUUUAAUUUAUCUUAAGUCGACCAGGAUACUGCAACAUUUAUUAGGAGUGGUUGUUUUUCGUGACGUCACACUUCCUUUACAAUAGGAAAUCAAAUUAGUGCAUAAACCACGUGGAGGAUUUUUAUAUAUCUGAAGGAUAACCACAGUUUUAUCCCCACACAUCAUUAAAUUGUGAAAUAUGAAAUUACCAUGUGUAUUGAGAAUUGUAAAGUGUAUUCUUUGGAAUAAACACACUAAUUAACAUGUCUGAGAAGGAUGCAUUUCAAAUUUAAAGAUGGUCUAUUUGUAAUCUGAAGGCAGAUCUACAAAAGGUUGUGUGCGUACAACUAUUUUACAGUAAACUUUUCUAUUUUGAGGUUUUUAUCGAUGGCACAUACUGCAACAAUGCCGACUAAAAAUGACGUCAUGUGCGAUUCGUUUGAGCGGGAAAAUCCCUACUGUACGACAGAGGACAUUAUAAGGUUACGGAACAGUGGUCAGGUCAAGGAAGGAAUUAAACAUUUAAAGGAAAAAUAUGAUUCUGUGGCUAAAUUCGGGCCUCAAACAACAUCGAAUGGAACCGCAACAGAAGACCAGUUGGUUAAAAGGCGGGAAAACCCUACCAUUGAAGUAUCCGAACCGGCCCAAUCGUCCUCAUCACAGGGCUCGAGCUACCGACCGGUGAGUUUUACAGAAGGCGUCACGGAACAGGAUAUUCUACAAGUGGAUACGUUCUUCAAAAGUCAUAAAACUGAUGUGAUUGUUUGCAAUUGUCUUGCCAAUUUAUAUUUCGGAAAAGUCAUGGGUGGAAAAGAUCAUUGGAAAUUCGCCAUGACCGGAAUUCCAGUGCUUGUACUUGAUACUGGUGAGCACCACCGGAAGCGGAGAUUACAGAUUGUGCUGUCCGAAAAAGGCAGCGGAUUUAUUUUGUGGAAAAAUAAGAUAGACCAUUUGUCGAAUUAUUCCGCGUCUCAUAUUAACUUCCACACUCUCCAUCUUAUGACCGACCAUACACGGCUGGCGGGACUCAGUUUCGAUGACGGAAGCGCGGCAACGGAAUUCUUUAACGCGCUCUCAAAGCUGACGUCUGAUCCGAAUGACGAACUUUUCAAUAUCAGCAAGUCAAAGAAAAAGAAGAAGUCGCAAAAAAGUAAGCAAAAGUUUAAAGCUCCAAAGAAAACUGAGAUUUCACAGCCGUGCUGCUUCGUACAUGUGACAAAGCUUGAGAAACCAUUGAACGAACUUUCGUUGGUUUCCGGCCCGAUGGGUUUCGAACAUUCUUCGAAAUCCCCCGAAGAUGAUCGAGAUGAUAAUGAAAUGUCUAGUCGAGUUGGUAGCAAACUAACGCUGACGAGUGAGAGUACAAGUUCCGGUAUAUCGGAGGACAUCCGGUCAAAUGACCAAUGACACUCCGUGUAACAUUGUUAAUUGAAUGUUUGAAAUAGACGUCUGUUAUUGGAGUUAACAUGUUUCUGGUGCUAAUUUUAGUCGCGUCACUGCGAUGAUUGCUGCGUAUAGUCCAAAACGAAGAACGUUUCAGUGACUUAUGCUAAUGAUUGGCGGUUAUAAACUUAGAUAUUUUCCCAUUUUCCCUAUAAAUAACAGCCCAGUUUUGAACAAGCCUUGUACAUGCCACUCUUUGAUAGACUGUUAUGGCCAAAAGUCAUACCAUGUGUACAAUACUUAUAUGAUCACAUAAACAAUGCAAUAUUACUGCAAAUCUCUUAUCUUUGGUGAGCAAUUAAAUUUCGGGGGAAAAGGAAGAGCACACAUUAGUUUGUAUAAAUGUAAUUAAAAGAUAUCAAGUAAUAUAAUCAUAACAACGUACUUAAAUUGAAACCAAACAUCACUGCGUAGAUAGUUUAUCAAGUUAAUACGAUAUGUUCAUGUAACAAUGAAAAUAAAUGACUCGUGGAAAGUAAAAGAUUUGCAGUAAGUUACCUGAUAUAAUACUGAUAUUAAUACAUAUUCAGCUUUCGCAUUUCAGCGUUAUUUUCUGUAAUCAUUAAUGCAUGUGUAGCGAAGUUGGUCUGGGUCGAUCGCCGGUGACAAGUGGAUUAGUUGGUUUGUAGAACGUCUGGGCGUUGCUUUUUCCCUUCCCCUUUCCAAUUUUGCGUCUCCCUAAAUAUACCCAUGGAUUGGUACAGAGUCACGUGCUUCUUCGGAGUCAAAUACGUUGCUGAGAGAGGAAGAAAUUUAGCGGAACCGACUGGGUCGAUCAAAUGCCUAUACAGUUUCCGUCUAAAGUUUGGAGGUUCCGCAUAUGAAUCCCAGUCUGGCCUUUUUUCCCUUUGCUUUGAUUUAUGAAUGGAAGUGGAAGGAAAACAUGUAGUUAUUGAGGGAGGCACUAAAAAUUUGUAUUAAUCUGAUUAAAACCAGAUAUUUUAUUCCACUCCGAUACUCUACUUUCCAGUCAAAGGGGCGUUGUGAGUCGGGAGUGGAAUAAACUACAUGGUUUCAGUCAGAUUGUGUCGCUAUUGAGUUAACUACUAUAUGUAUAAUAACUCACUGACGACAUACUGUCUCAGGCGGUUACAAUAAGAAAAACAUUAAACGUAGUUUCAGGAAGUUGUAGUAAAAAACAAAUUAACUAUGUCCUCACAAACAUUUCCUUAACAAGUAGGAAUCGGAUAAGAACUGACCUCGUACUUUUACUGGGAACAUUGAAACUCUGCUUUGGCUUGUAAAAUUCCUCUGCAAUAAAUAUUGAAUUUAACAGACAUGUCUAAUUGAAUCUGUGCCAAAAUAGAAUUUUCUUCAGAAAAAAAUGGGGCUACUUGGAAAACCAAGAGCUGUUUGUCUGUGAUGGUGCACAGGGUAUAGGGGCGUGCUUGUACUCGCGUUCCCUCAGGUAGUCGUAACGGGGAACCAUCAAAAAUCAACAUACCUGCAUAUACAUCAUACAUACCUAUAUAUACCUGCAUAGUCACUUACUCGUCUGUAUCAAAGGAUGUUUAAUGUGAAAGGGUCUUUCAGAAAGUAACAUCGUUUGUUGUAGAAAACUUAAAAGGUAACUUUAAUUAAGAUAUUUGGUAUACAAGAUAUCAGAUUUGAUAAAAAAAAAAAGAUCUAGUGGCUAUUCGAUCGGAAAUGAUUUACUUAUAUCAAAGACGUGCACUUGUUCCGUAUGUGUAUAAUUCUUUGGUACGUGUUUUACCUAUUACACGGAGAAGUGGAUUGGAGAUGCGCGAGUAUGUAUACAAAGCUGUUUGAUAGCUGUUUGAACCCGAAGUAUGUAGUCUAAACAAAGUUACGGCUAAACCUUAAAAUAGUGGGUAUGGAAGUCUGGGAAGUGUAACUGCCGGGACAUGCUCAAAACCCGAUCAUGUACGGAAUGGAACAGAAUUUCCGGAAACAUUGAUUUUGGCUCACAGACGCUUUUUGUUUAGAAAGCUGCAAAUGAAAUGCAUUAAGGACGGUUUACGCAGACAGUAAGCAUAGCCUACGUCCUCUUUAGACCUGAUAUACUCGCCACUAUACAGGAACUGAAACCUAGGACUUACAAACAAAUAAUUAGAUGUUGAUCUCCUUAAAAAAGAAGUUAUACAGAGCAACAAAGUCAUAGAGCCCAGACACGUUAAUGAAACUAUAAUGAGUACAAAUCGAAUAGUUAUACGUUCUUAUGACAAGUGUACUAUAAUGCUUUAGCUCAAAUUUUCCUGGUAUUUCAAUAAAAGUACAAUACAAUUGUAUCGCUGACUUCGUGUCCUAACAAAAAAGAUAUUGCUUUUGACUCACAAUAAGGAAACUUCAGAGUUACUGUAACGCCACAAGGAACAAUGUCCAUUGUUCGUUAUUUUUUCACACCAAAUUUUGAUUCGUCGGUUCAGUGUGAAAAUAGCAAAUUGUACCACCGAAAUACCAAACUUUUAUUUUCAGUUUGAAACCGAAUAUAAAUGUAGUAAUCGCUACGUCCUACCUUAGUUCGGUAAAGCACGUGCUGUGUAUUGUUCUGAGAUGGUAUGUUUAUAAUGUUAAGUAAUCAGUGGCAUUCAAUCCUACAACAGGAUGCAGGAAGAACUGACUUCAUUGAUCAUAACUGUUUUGUGACGAGCCACACACGAACAGUCGGUAGCAGGCAUUCCUAUUUUACACAGCAAGACACUCUUGUUGUCGUUGUAAAAACAUACCGAAUCCAACCCUAACCCUGGUAGUUUUGACAUGCUCUUUAGUUUUAUUUAAUUAUUUAAUGCCGUUUGCAUGUCUUCAGACGUCAUAUGGCAUUGAAAAGAAUACCUCUAGAGGUUAUAAAACAUUGGGUUGGUAAACUGAUUAUUUAAAGAGCACACACAGUUAUGACCGGUAAAGAAUUAUUACAUCUGGAGAAAAGUAGAAAAAAGGGAACAUGGCGUGGAACAUCUCAAUGGUAAACAAAUCUAGGAUGUUAUUCCGAGAUUUGAACCAAGAUUGGACGAGACAGGAACACUGGCAGAGAAUAUUGAUGUUUGCCUAUCUCAGAUGUCUAAUCGUAAAAGCUUCUCAAUCUGGGGCUGCAUUGUGCAACUACAUUGGCAGUUUUCUGUUUCACGAUUCCCCUGAGAAAAAAUCAACGGGUAAGAAAUCCGUUUCUCAACCGUUCGGAUGUGCCUAAGCUCUAAAUUAAUGUGCAGACCGCGCCAACAUUCCUGAAACUAAUUAAAUGUCGGUUUUGUGAUUCAUUCCAUGUUUUUAAUUGAACAAUUUGAGUGCCUUGGAGAAAUCGUCAACCGCUUCAGUUUCUGUCAUUCUCAAAUGACCUUGAAAAUUGUAAUUGAUUUGAUGGAUACUUUCAAAAUGAUCAUUUGAACUCGUCAAUGACGUCAGUCGUACGUCUCUAUAAGGUGAUUUAUACUUUUACAUAAAAAUGCAAGGUCGUUUGCAAAAUAUAUUUUUUUGAAUAAUAAACGCAUGUUUUAACUACAAUUGCCCUUUCCAGGCCAUCCGCUAAACGGCAGAGGUAUUAGCUAAUUAACACAUUCAUCCGCGAUAAAGUACCAUAACGGAAGCUUAAAAUUACCAGUUGAUUAGUUUUACGAACAUUCAGUUUCAAUCCAAUUAGAAAAGUCCCUAUUUUAUUCUAAAUAUUUAAAACAAAUUUGGUUACAGUGCUGUUGACACAGCAGUGAUUUUUUUUAUCCGCAAACUUAUCAUCUCGAAAAAAAUCCCUACUCAUUUGAUAAUGACAUAGACACUUGUGAUAGAAAAAAGCUCCACAGCUCGUUUAAACAUUGAUUAUCACUUUUUUUCGUCAAAGUAAUUUUCACAUUUCAAAAAGAGAUGAAAAAAACGAAAACAACCGAUUUGAAUUAUAUAAACAUGCUACAUGUAUCUACAAUAAAGACGAUCUGUGAGUCACACAGAACAUUGGUUAACAGCGAACUAUUUAUAAAAUAACGAAAGGAACCAACUACAACAACGUCCCAGAAUAAUAAACCCUUGUACUUCCGGUUUCAAGAUUGUCUCAAUAAGGUUACUGUUAAAUAACUCCAGUGUUUUGUGAUUGAGAAAUAUAUGCACAAUAAGCUGAUAUCAUACCGUAAACGGUUAACGACCAUAACGUUCGAACUGUAGCAUUAACUCUGCCGACUCUACUUUCAGUUGAAAAGCACGAGAGAGAAUAUUUGUUUACAAAUGGCAUUUACAUCUGUGCUCCUUGAAUUAUUGAUUUAAAGUUGUUCUGGGUCAUACAAAUGAGCUAACCUCCCAUAGAACUUAAACAUGGUACGAGAACAGAGUGCGUGUACGCUGUUAGGGCAAGUAAAACAUUCAUGUGAAGAUGGUCGUAGUACAUCCCCCAUCAAUAAUUCAUGAACAGUUUUCUUAUUUCUUAGUGACAUCAUCCCCGUCUCACACAGUUUCCCACAGUAAUUGUUUAAUAACCGCACAGUAAACAGGGAUGAUUGUAAACAGGAAAUGUUCCAGUCUCUCCCUAAAACCAGGGUAGUCUCCUAUACAUCUGUGUUUACUGUCACUCACAGACUCGCAGAUGUAGUGAUCUAAAGAAAUCCAUCACGUAUGUCUAGUAAGUUAUCCUUGGUAUUAUCUAGUGACAUUUAUCUUCAUGAAAUGAUUGAAUUUGCAUUCCAACACUCCGAUAUAUUACCGUAAUUAACACACAAAACUUUAUUUAUAAACUCGAAAUACUUUCCAGAUGAGUCAAUUACACGUGAUUCCCAGAAGCCGUGAGCAGUGGUCAUAUUUCAUUUUUCUAACCGAUUCCCUAUCUUGCCACUUUCAGUUGGAUAACGAGGCUCACCUGUUUUAAGUUUAUAUUUUUAUGUUAAAACGGGGAGGGAGCAUACCAAACGUAUCGACUGAAACACCUGUUCUACACCGUAUGAAUGAUUUAAUGGGGGUUUCUGUAUAAGGUGUUUGUAGUUUACACCGUAUGAAUGAUUUAAUGGGGGUUUCUGUAUAAGGUGUUUGUAGUUUACACCGUAUGAAUGAUUUAAUGGGGGUUUCUGUAUAAGGUGUUUGUAGUUUACACCGUAUGAAUGAUUUAAUGGGGGUUUCUGUAUAAGGUGGUUGUAGUUUAAUUGGAACAAAGAAACAGAUCAAUAUUUGAAUCAAAAACUGAACAGUUAUCUCUUCAUCGAGUGCGCAGAAUAAAAUCUUUUUGUGACACGAAGCAGUUCGUCAGUAGGGAACAAAAAUCAAUUCAUUUUAUAGACGGAACGUUUUCCUAAGCUAUAGUGAUAUCUCAUUGGACACAAUGAUAUUAACAUCACUGUUCAGAUUCCAAUUAAAUAAGAUGAACACAAAUGGAUAUGUUUUCGUUUACUGCUACAACACCGAGGCACGUAGGACUAAAAUAGAAACAUCACGGGCGUUACUAAUAUAUAUAAGUGCAAGCAGAUCAAUAACAAGAAAAACAUUCUUGAAUUUGUGCUCAUUUCUUUUUCAUAAAAACCCAGAAUGUCGAAUUUCAAUCAAUUUUAUCAGCAGUGUUUUUCCCCCAAUCAUCGCCCGACGAGGUUUCGGAAUACUCUGUUUGUAAGAUACAUUAUUGUAUACAAACUUUUCCAAUAAAAUGUUUCCAAAAUUGUGAUAAGGAAAGAUAUAUUUGUACUGAGAAUUGAAAUCCCCCUUUUUCCUGACAGAAAUGAGCCUAUUUUACUGUUCCUACAUGUAUACUACCACGGACCUAGUUUCCGUGUAAUACUGAUGUCUAAGGAACGGUUAUCGAGGGGCUGAUGACUAAACGGUUCAUUAGGUCACGGCACGGCACGGCUCCACAAGUCCAGAUCGAUAUUUACAAUGCAGACAGAACGCCACCAGUUUUAUACAUCUCAUUAUACGCUACUGCAGUGGUCAGUGAUCAUGAGGGUUGCUGAUGUUGAGGUGUACAGCGCCAUGACGAUUGGAUGAGAGAGUAUUUUAUAAGUGAAAAGUGUGUCGUGCUAAUGGGUGCCUUGUAAAAGUAUAAUUAUUUCCAGUCAUAUUUGUUCAAAGUUUAAACGAUGAUUUAAAUCUUGAUUUACGAGUUUACUGGAAGCGUAUCAUAUUUGUCUCCCUUUCAAGAACUGUUAACAGGUGUGUCAGAGUUAUCUUUCUUGUGUAAAGCCCCGCUGCAUUGCCAAUAGUUAAGUUUUAAAUCAUUUUAGCUUGUAUAUGUUGCUAUGCAAUUAUCAUCUGCGAAUUAAAAUUGUUUAUCUAUUAAAA